UUAUAAGGAUCACUCCGAGUUCCGUUUCCUAAAGAUAAAAUUCCAUGGUGCGGAACCGAAGGGUUGAGCCCGAAAGAGUUCAGCCUCCCGCGUUUGGAAAGGAGUUAAAAAAAAUUCAAG
This 120-nucleotide non-coding RNA is filed under the name Candidatus Delongiibacteriota. Its description in RNAcentral is "Candidatus Delongbacteria MoCo sequence". It matches the Rfam family "Molybdenum/Tungsten riboswitch aptamer (Moco RNA motif)". The record is from RNAcentral.